CCUACGGGAGGCAGCAGUAGGGAAUCUCCCACAAUGGGCGAAAGCCUGAUGGAGCAACGCCGCGUGGGUGAAGAAGGUCUUCGGAUCGUAAAACCCUGUUGUUAGAGAAGAAAGUGCGUGAGAGUAACUGUUCACGUUUCGACGCUAUCUAACCAGAAAGCCACGGCUAACUACGUGCCAGCCGCCGCGGUAAUACGUAGGUGGCAAGCUUUAUCCGGAUUUAUUGGGCGUAAAGGGAACGCAGGCGGCCUUUUAAGUCUGAUGUGAAAGCCUCGGCUUAACCGGAGUAGUGCAUUGGAAACUGGGAGACUUGAGUGCAGAAGAGGAGAUUGGAACUCCAGGUGUAGCGGUGAAAUGCGUAGAUAUAUGGAAGAACACCAGUGGCGAAAGCGGCUCUCUGGUCUGUAACUGACGCUGAGGUUCGAAAGCGUGGGUAGCAAACAGGAUUAGAUACCCCAGUAGUC
Molecule: ribosomal RNA, 464 nt
Filed under: uncultured bacterium
Lineage: Bacteria
Description: partial 16S ribosomal RNA
Rfam family: Bacterial small subunit ribosomal RNA
Source: RNAcentral